AAGUUCCUUCGGGAGCGAGUAGAGCGGCGGACGGGUGAGUAACGCGUAGAAAUCUGCCCAGUAGUGGGGGAUAACCCGGGGAAACUCGGGCUAAUACCGCAUACGUCCUACGGGAGAAAGCAGGGGACCUUCGGGCCUUGCGCUAUUGGAUGAGUCUGCGUCGGAUUAGCUAGUUGGUGGGGUAAGGGCCCACCAAGGCGACGAUCCGUAGCUGGUCUGAGAGGAUGAUCAGCCACACUGGGACUGAGACACGGCCCAGACUCCUACGGGAGGCAGCAGUGGGGAAUAUUGGACAAUGGGCGCAAGCCUGAUCCAGCCAUGCCGCGUGUGUGAAGAAGGCCUUCGGGUUGUAAAGCACUUUCAGUGGGGAGGAAAUGCCCAGGGUGAAUAGCGCUGGGAGUUGACGUUACCCACAGAAGAAGCACCGGCUAAUUCCGUG
RNAcentral lists this ribosomal RNA (439 nucleotides) under uncultured bacterium. RNAcentral describes it as "bacterial SSU rRNA". It matches the Rfam family "Bacterial small subunit ribosomal RNA", at positions 72 to 507 of the family's 1533-position model. The record is from RNAcentral.